CUCUUGACUCAGAGGUAUACACCACGCUCCAUGUUAUAUCGCUGGAAGGAAAAGAGAUGAGGAUUUCUUUUGAGCCUCUUCAGGUAGAAAAAUAAUGUAGGAUCAUCUAGAGGUACAGUAUGUUUGGGUAAGUGUUCUAAAAGGCAGUGGGUUGGAUUUAAAACCUCUUCUCCAGCCAGCAUUCCAAAUAGGAGGGACGUGGGUGGAACCUCUCAGACCUUUUUCCGUGUUCUCUUCUUCUCUAAGGCAGAACACUACUGAAAUGCAAAAGCCUCUUCCCUUUUCUGUCCACCUUUUCUCCAAACUCUGGGGAGAGAGGUCUAUUACUAACACUCUGUUAGUCAGUAAGAAAAGGCCCAGAGAACUGUCAGCUAGAAUCUGGUGAAUGCAGGGCGGGUAGUGGAGAGUCUCUGGCUGUCGAUCUUGUGCCAUCUAGUUCUUUCCUGGGAUAUGGGUGGGAGGUGUUCCAGGAGCGAGGCAGCAUGUCCAGUGGUGGGAUGGGGCAGAUGCCAGGACGGAUGAUGAUCUGGUCCCAGCACGUCAGAAGGAAACUGGCUUUAGGCUGCUCUGAGGUUUCCACUGGAGACCAGCAUUCCUCUGAGUAAUGCUUUUCCUUUCCCCUCCUGGCUUCACACAGAGCUUGGCUGGGGAGAUUUUUCUUUUCUUUCCAGUGAGUACAUUUAUUGAUUUUCACAAACAGACACCAUCAUGGGCUAAACAUCUAGGAAAUCUUAAUUUUCUUCCCAGCCAACCCAGCCAUUCGUUCUCCACCACUCCCAGGAAGCCCCAGGAACUGCCGCUGACCUCGCCUCGCUGCACAUUGCCUAUUUAUCUGUGAGAUGGCUCCAGAAAAGAAGGUGAGAGGCACCAGCUUAGAUGCUACUAAUUAGCA
This 892-nucleotide long non-coding RNA is filed under the name Mustela putorius furo (domestic ferret). RNAcentral's name for it is "lncRNA (ENSMPUG00000031551.1)". The record is from RNAcentral. Lineage: Eukaryota; Metazoa; Chordata; Mammalia; Carnivora; Mustelidae.